This 465-nucleotide ribosomal RNA is filed under the name Vreelandella stevensii. RNAcentral describes it as "partial 16S ribosomal RNA". It matches the Rfam family "Bacterial small subunit ribosomal RNA", at positions 338 to 795 of the family's 1533-position model. The record is from RNAcentral. Lineage: Bacteria; Pseudomonadati; Pseudomonadota; Gammaproteobacteria; Oceanospirillales; Halomonadaceae.
CCUACGGGUGGCAGCAGUGGGGAAUAUUGGACAAUGGGGGGAACCCUGAUCCAGCCAUGCCGCGUGUGUGAAGAAGGCCCUCGGGUUGUAAAGCACUUUCAGUGAGGAAGAACGCCUGGUGGUUAAUACCCAUCAGGAAAGACAUCACUCACAGAAGAAGCACCGGCUAACUCCGUGCCACCAGCCGCGGUAAUACGGAGGGUGCGAGCGUUAAUCGGAAUUACUGGGCGUAAAGCGCGCGUAGGUGGCUUGAUAAGCCGGUUGUGAAAGCCCCGGGCUCAACCUGGGAACGGCAUCCGGAACUGUCAAGCUAGAGUGCAGGAGAGGAAGGUAGAAUUCCCGGUGUAGCGGUGAAAUGCGUAGAGAUCGGGAGGAAUACCAGUGGCGAAGGCGGCCUUCUGGACUGACACUGACACUGAGGUGCGAAAGCGUGGGUAGCAAACAGGAUUAGAUACCCUGGUAGUC